This is a non-coding RNA of Leptonychotes weddellii (Weddell seal), 879 nucleotides long. The record is from RefSeq and is a predicted model, not a curated record. Lineage: Eukaryota; Metazoa; Chordata; Mammalia; Carnivora; Phocidae.
ACAGUUCACAACCACAUGAAAAGAUGUGUAAGAGCAUUAGUCAUUAGGGAAAUGUGAAUGCAAACCACAGUGAGAUCACAUUGUAUAUCUGUUAAAUGGCUCAAAUUGAAAGACCAGCCAUUCUGACUGUUGGCAAGGAAGUGAAGCCACUGGAAAUGUCCUACACUGCUGGUGGGAAUGUACAGAGGGGCAUUCAUUUGCGCCAUUCCUUAAAAAGUUAAACACGUAUCUACUACAGGCAUACACACACGUACCUCAUAUCACAGUGUGGACCAGCCGCAAGUGGGAACCUGUGAAAAGGAAAAGUCUCAGGCCCCACUCCAAGCUGUUGAAGUUUGAGAACCACUGCCCUGGGGCAAGGACACGGACUUUGAGGACCUGUCUUGUCUGCUACCUUUCCUUUUCAGGGCAAUCCUGUGAGAAGAAGGAAUUUUAUUCCCACCCAACAAAGGAAGAAACAAAGGCUCAGAGGGAUCACCUCACUCACUCCAGUUCCCUCCACCAGGCAGGUCUAGAGUCUGGACAAUGCUCAGACACUAUGAUAAAGUCUCCAGCCCCUGUUUUCCCUUCACUUCCUCAGCCUCCUGACCAACCUUGGUGCCUCCCGACAUGGCCCCGCUCAGAAUUCUGUGCCUCCUCUUUCUAGAGGUCUCCACCAGGUCUGUGACACUUCAUUAUGGCAGCCCGAGAAGACUACUCCCACUCCCAAUGUGAAGUCGCUGAAUUUGAGUCCAGAAGAAAUGCACAGCAGCAGUAUGUCUUUCCCACUGUAGGACACAAUAGCAUGAAUAACCUCAAGAGCAUAGAUCAUAGUAAUAUGUGGUAAAAUUAGAGAGGGAUGAGCUUCCUUCUUUUUAAAUAUAAUUUAUUGUGAGUUUA